This 271-nucleotide ribosomal RNA is filed under the name uncultured bacterium. RNAcentral describes it as "partial 16S ribosomal RNA". It matches the Rfam family "Bacterial small subunit ribosomal RNA", at positions 333 to 621 of the family's 1533-position model. The record is from RNAcentral.
GCUUUCCUACGGGACGCAGCAGUAGGGAAUAUUGCUCAAUGGGGGAAACCCUGAAGCAGCAACGCCGAGUGGAGGAUGAAGGUUUUAGGAUUGUAAACUCCUUUUGUUAGAGAAGAUUAUGACGGUAUCUAACGAAUAAGCACCGGCUAACUCCGUGCCAGCAGCCGCGGUAAUACGGAGGGUGCAAGCGUUACUCGGAAUCACUGGGAGUAAAGAGUGCGUAGGCGGGGUAAUAAGUCAGAUGUGAAAUCCUGGAGCUUAACUACAGAAC